This 423-nucleotide ribosomal RNA is filed under the name uncultured bacterium. Its description in RNAcentral is "bacterial SSU rRNA". It matches the Rfam family "Bacterial small subunit ribosomal RNA", at positions 358 to 772 of the family's 1533-position model. The record is from RNAcentral.
GGAAUAUUGCGCAAUGGAGGAAACUCUGACGCAGCGACGCCGCGUGGGUGACGAAGGCCUUCGGGUCGUAAAACCCUGUUGAAAGGGAAGAAAAUCAUGGUGGCUAAUAUCCAUCGUGUUUGACGGUACCUUUUGAGGAAGCACCGGCUAACUACGUGCCAGCAGCCGCGGUACUACGUAGGGUGCGAGCGUUGUUCGGAAUUAUUGGGAGUAAAGCGCGUGUAGGUGGUUAUGUACGUCGGGUGUGAAAGCCCUGGGCUCAACCGAGGAAGUGCAUCCGAAACUGCAUAACUAGAGGACGCUAGAGGAGGGUGGAAUUCCUAGUGUAGAGGUGAAAUUCGUAGAUAUUAGGAGGAAUACCGGUGGCGAAGGCGGCCCUCUGGGGCGUUCCUGACACUGAGACGCGAAAGCGUGGGGAGCAAA